Molecule: long non-coding RNA, 858 nt
Organism: Amphimedon queenslandica
Lineage: Eukaryota; Metazoa; Porifera; Demospongiae; Haplosclerida; Niphatidae
Exons: 4
Source: RefSeq, a predicted model, not a curated record
AGCGUCUAGAGACAGGAAUGGAUCCAAUUAGUUAUGUGGGUGGUUUUAUAUCUGUAAUACGCAUGCGCAUUACUCCCUCAUGGACAAAAAUCACAAAAUGGCUGCCACCAACUGAGUGUUUUUCAUAUUUCUAGUGCUGUCUUUGUGGUUCCAGGCCUUUUUGCUAGUUGUUUGCAUGAGUUGGAUCACUGAUUAGACUAAUAUAACCUUGCACUAGGUAAUUAUGCACUUAUCAUUUCUUAUGCCCUUGCUAUAAUUGUAUCAGCUCCCAUCAUACAUGUACAUAACUCCAUUCAUUCAUACACUAAGUUAUUUUUUUUUCUUUUUUUUUCUGGUUCCUGGUGAGUUUACCAGGUUACCAUCAGCACUCUAACUCCCUGUGUUUUCAUUCUACUAUUGUGCUGUAGAGUUUAUUAAUAAUAAUAAUAAUAAUAAUAAUAAUAAUAAUUUAUUCUCAGACUGCUAUAAAUUAUGCCUUUUUAUAUACUGUGACUAUUGUAAUCACCUAUAUAUAGAAUGUAUCUUUUAAUUAUUUUUGUGUGAGGAAAUGGGCUUUUUAGUCUUUCCUGGGUUAUCAUUUGUUCCUUCCACUACAAUUACUCAUUUCAGAACUGCAUUUUAUACCUUUCCAGCAAAUUGGAUCACAAGAGGUUGCUCAUGAGUUUUUGCUUACAUGUGUAGUAGGAGACUAGGAGCUCAAAAUGUCACGAAAAGCUAUCAGUAUUGUUCAUGGUGGUGGACGAAACUCUGGAUGCUAUAUUUGGAGAUGUUGAUAACAUUUCCCCAAGACUAGAUAUAUUAUCAACUCUUUAUUUCCCUUGGCACUACUUAAUGUGACACCAGUAUAUUUCCAGGUCA